RNAcentral lists this ribosomal RNA (492 nucleotides) under uncultured bacterium. RNAcentral describes it as "partial 16S ribosomal RNA". It matches the Rfam family "Bacterial small subunit ribosomal RNA", at positions 29 to 507 of the family's 1533-position model. The record is from RNAcentral.
AGUGAACGCUGGCGGUAGGCCUAACACAUGCAAGUCGAACGGCAGCACAGUAAUAGCUUGCUCUUACGGGUUGCGAGUGGCGUACGUGUGAGGUAUACAUCGUAAUCUACUUUUUCGUGUGGGAUAACGUAGGUAAACUUACUCUAAUACCGCAUACCACCUUCGGUUGAAAGCAGUGGAUCUUCGGACCUUGCGCGAUUGAAUUAGCCGCUGUGGGAUUAGAUAGUUGGCGGGGUAAUGGCCCACCCAGGCGACGAUCCGUAGCUGGUCUGAGUGGAUGAUAGGCGACACUGGAGGUGAGACAGGGUCAAGACUACUAAGGGAGGCAGCAGUGGGGAAUAUUGGACAAUGGGCGCAAGCAUGAUACAGCGAGAGCGAGUGGGUGAAGAAGGCGUUCGGGUUGUAAAGACCUUUUGUUGGGAGAGAAAAGCAGCAGGUUAAGACCAAGCUGGUGUGACGGUACCGAAAGAAUAAGCACCGGCUAACUUCGUG